Molecule: ribosomal RNA, 433 nt
Filed under: uncultured bacterium
Lineage: Bacteria
Description: partial 16S ribosomal RNA
Rfam family: Bacterial small subunit ribosomal RNA
Source: RNAcentral
AACGAACGCUGGCGGCAUGCCUAACACAUGCAAGUCGAACGAGACCUUCGGGUCUAGGGGCGCACGGGUGCGUAACGCGUGGGAACCUUCCCUUAGGUUCGGAAUAACUCCCCGAAAGGGGUGCUAAUACCAGAUAAUGUCUUCGGACCAAAGAUUUAUCGCCUUUGGAUGGGCCCGCGUUGGAUUAGCUAGUUGGUAGGGUAAAAGCCUACCAAGGCGACGAUCCAUAGCUGGUCUGAGAGGAUGAUUAGCCACACUGGGAGUGAGACACGGCCCAGAAUCCUACGCGAGGGAGCAGUGGGGAAUAUUGGACAAUGGGCGAAAGCCUGAUCCAGCAAUGCCGCGUGAGUGAUGAAGGCCUUAGGGUUGUAAAGCUCUUUUACCCGUGAUGAUAAUGACAGUACCGGGAGAAUAAGCUCCGGCUAACUACGUG